This 77-nucleotide transfer RNA is filed under the name Candidatus Cloacimonadota bacterium. RNAcentral describes it as "tRNA-Pro". It matches the Rfam family "tRNA". Rfam says of the family: Transfer RNA (tRNA) molecules are approximately 80 nucleotides in length. Lineage: Bacteria; Pseudomonadati; Candidatus Cloacimonadota. The record is from RNAcentral.
CGGGGACUGGCGCAAUUGGCUAGCGCGCUAGCAUCGGGAGCUAGAGGUUCUCGGUUCAAAUCCGGGGUCCCCGACCA